RNAcentral lists this ribosomal RNA (408 nucleotides) under uncultured soil bacterium. RNAcentral's name for it is "bacterial SSU rRNA". It matches the Rfam family "Bacterial small subunit ribosomal RNA", at positions 26 to 429 of the family's 1533-position model. The record is from RNAcentral.
AGAUUGAACGCUGGCGGCAGGCCUAACACAUGCAAGUCGAGCGGUAGAGAGGUGCUUGCAUCUCUUGAGAGCGGCGGACGGGUGAGUAAUGCCUGGGAAUCUGCCUAGUGGUGGGGGGAUAACGUUCGGAAACGGACGCUAAUACCGCAUACGUCCUACGGGAGAAAGCGGGGGACCUUCGGGCCUCGCGCCAUUAGAUGAGCCUAGGUUGGAUUAGCUAGUUGGUGAGGUAAUGGCUCACCAAGGCGACGAUCCGUAACUGGUCUGAGAGGAUGAUCAGUCACACUGGAACUGAGACACGGUCCAGACUCCGUACGGGAGCAGCGAGGUGGGAAUAGUUGGACAAGUGGGACGAAAGCCUAGACUCCGAGCCAGUGCCGUCGUGUGUAGAAGAAGGUUCUUCGGUAA